Molecule: RNA transcript, 3670 nt
Organism: Helianthus annuus (common sunflower)
Lineage: Eukaryota; Viridiplantae; Streptophyta; Magnoliopsida; Asterales; Asteraceae
Gene name: alpha-mannosidase
Exons: 28
Source: RefSeq, a predicted model, not a curated record
AAAACAUGUCUCAUUUGUUAAAAACUCCCAACUUUUUAUGGGCAUUUGUGGUUUGUGUUCUUCUUUCUUGUGAGUUGACUUGUGGGUAUGACACUGGUGGUGGCAUUGUUGAGGGGAAGUUGAAUGUUCAUUUGGUUCCACAUUCACAUGAUGAUGUGGGUUGGUUGAAGACAAUUGAUCAGUACUUUAUUGGAUCAAAUAACAGUAUACAGGUUGCCUGUGUUGAAAAUGUGCUCGAUUCGGUUGUUAUGUCCCUGCUCCGUGAUCCAAACAGGAAAUUCAUAUUUGCUGAAAUGGCCUUUUUCAGAAGAUGGUGGCUAAUUCAAAGUGAGGGGAUCAAAGAUCAAGUGAAAAAGCUCGUUUCUACAGGCCAAUUAGAAUUCGUAAACGGAGGCUGGUGCAUGCAUGAUGAAGCAGCUACACACUACAUAGACAUGAUCGAUCAAACGACUUUGGGCCAUGAUUUAAUAAAGUCUAACUUCAACGUAACUCCUCGGGCUGGUUGGCAGAUUGAUCCGUUUGGGCAUUCUGCCGUUCAAGCUUAUCUUUUAGGAGCAGAGCUCGGGUUUGAUUCACUACAUUUUGCACGGAUUGAUUAUCAAGAUAGAGCAAAACGGAAGGGUGAUAAAAGUCUUGAAGUCGUAUGGCGUGGCUCAAAAACAUUCGGUUCAUCAUCUCAGAUAUUCACCAAUGUGUUUCCGAGACACUAUAGUCCCCCCGAUGGAUUUAAUUUUGAAGUUAGCGGAGUUUUUGAGCCCGUUCAGGACGAACCUCUUCUCUUUGAUAUGAAUGUUGAGAAACGAGUUAAUGAUUUCAUUAACGCUUCAGUCUUCCAAGCAAAUGUAACAAGGACAAAUCAUAUUAUGUGGACAAUGGGAGAGGACUUCAAAUACCAAUAUGCGGAAUCUUGGUUUAAGCAGAUGGACAAACUAAUUCACUAUGUUAACAUGGAUGGUCGAGUAAAUGCGUUAUAUUCCACUCCAUCUAUAUACACAGAUGCAAAACUUGCUUCAAAUAUAUCUUGGCCACUCAAAACUCAUGAUUAUUUCCCAUACGCGAAUAAUGGAGAUUCUUACUGGACGGGUUAUUUUACAAGUCGCCCUGCCUUCAAAGGAUACGUACGAUCAUUGAGCGGAUAUUAUUUGGCAUCAAGGCAGCUUGAGUUUUUGGUUGGAAGGCGAAAUAACGGUCCGAACACUUUGAGUCUUGGGGAUGCUUUAGGAAUUGCGCAACAUCAUGAUGCUGUUUCCGGUACUGCUAAACAACAUACAACAAAUGACUACCAAAAACGCUUAGCAAUUGGAGCUCUCGAGGCUGAGGCUGUUGUCAAUUCAGCUUUAUCAUGCCUAACAAGUUCUACAAGUAACUGCACCAUAUCCACAUCCACAUUUAGCCAGUGUCCGCUGCUCAAUAUAAGUUUUUGCCCACCGGUCGAAAACAUUCCUUCUGGGAAGAGUUUGGUUAUUGUCGCGUAUAACGCUCUUGGAUGGAAUCGCACGGAUGUUAUCAGGAUCCCUGUCAAAGAUGCUAACUUUGUCGUCCAAGACAACGAGGGCAAUACGGUUGAAGCCCAAUUCAUAGAAUUUGAUAACAUAACAAGCAACCUAAGAAGCUUUUACACAGAGGCUUAUUUAGGAAUUUCACCUAAAGACGUUCCGAAAUAUUGGCUUUUGUUUCAAGCAUCUGUGCCACCGUUGGGUUGGAACACUUACUUUGUUACCCAAACACCUGGAAAAGGUACCUUUACGGCUGUUUCGGUGGCAGAUCAUACGCCACAAAAUGACACUAUUGAAAUCGGACCGGGAAGUUUGAAGAUGUUGUUUUCAUUGCAGUCUGGACAACUAAAAAGAAUUAUUAAUUCUAGAACCAGUAUUGAUUUACCGAUACAACAAAGCUAUCUUUGGUAUGGUAGUGGAGCGGGUAACCAGCCUUCCGGAGCAUACAUUUUCCACCCGAGUGACUCACCACCAGUUAUUGUUUCAAGAUCAGUACCUGUUAAAGUCAUUCGUGGACCGCUCGUUGAAGAGGUUCACCAACAAUUCAACCCGUGGAUCUAUCAGGUGACAAGACUAUACAAAGACAAAGAGCAUGCUGAAUUUGAGUUCACUAUCGGUCCAAUUCCGACGGAUGACGGUGUUGCAAAAGAAGUGAUUACAAGAAUUACAGCUGAUAUGGUCACCGACAAGCUGUUCUAUACCGAUUCUAACGGAAGAGACUUCCUCAAAAGAGUACGGGAUUACAGAGAAGACUGGCCGCUUGAAGUCACUCAACCCGUUGCCGGGAAUUAUUACCCGCUUAAUCUUGGGAUGUUUACAACAGACAACAAAACUGAGUUGUCGAUUCUUGUUGAUCGGGCUACUGGCGGAGCUAGCCUCAGUAACGGGCAAAUGGAGAUUAUGUUUCAUAGGUAUCUUCAAUUAGACCUCUUCAUUUAAAUCUCCAUCUAGGGAGGUGUUGUUCACGUCAAGUUGAUUGAUGGUCUAGUUUUUCUUGACUGUCACGGCUAGAAGAGUUCUAAUAGUGACAAGUUUCGCAACAGGGGCGAAGGUGCCGUGGUAAUCGACUCCCUCCAUUUGGGUGAAGCCCUUUGCUACUAGACGUUCUUUGUAUCGCUCAGCUUCUCCAUUUGGCCUAUAUUUCACCUUAUAAACCCACUUUGAAUCUAUAACACGUAUUCCUUCUGGUGAGCUUUUGAGGGUCCACGUACCAUUUUCUUCAAAAGCACGGAUCUCUUUUUUCAUGGCCUCUUUCCACCUUUCAUCCUGCAUAGCUUGGUUAAAGUUCAUUGGCUCAUCAUUGGAAUUGAUGGCCGCUAAAAAGGCGUUGUGAGAACUAGAAAAUUUUUCAUGUGAAACAAAAUUGGACAAAGGAUGUAGUGUUGAGGAUUCUUGACUUGGUGCGGUUUGUACAGGAUAGACAUAUGGGGGAAGCUUUACAACAAAAUCGUUUAAUCGAGCAGGCGUAUGUUGUAUGAUGAUCAUAGAGGAGUGGGUGAAGCCCUUGACGAGAUUGUGUGUAGUAAUAGCACCUGUCAAGGACUUACGAUUCGAGGAAAUUAUUAUAUGAGUAUUGACCACAAUGGUAACGGAUCACGGUGGCGUAGAACAACGGGCCAAGAGAUUUAUUCACCUCUCCUCCUAGCCUUUACACAUGAGACUCAAGAUGAUUAUAAAGCUUCACACUCAACAAGGUCAACAACAAUGGAUCCGGACUAUAGUUUGCCCCCUAACGUUGCGUUAAUUACACUUCAGGAAUUGGAGGACGGAAGUGUGCUUCUUCGGUUAGCCCAUCUGUACGAGGCUGGUGAAGAUGUCGACUUUUCGACCUUAGUCAAAGUGGAACUGAAGAAAAUGUUUGCUGCAAAAUCGAUCAAGACGAUUAAAGAAACAAGCUUAUCUGCAAAUCAAGACAAGUCGGCGAUGAAGAGGAUGCCAUGGAAGGUUGAAGGCGGAAGUGGGAGCGAACCACCAACUGUUAGAGGUGGACCCAUUGACCCUUCGGCUCUUGUUGUCGAGUUGGGUCCUAUGGAGAUUCGUACUUUCAUAUUACAAGUUUGAUUUUACGUGUUCUUGAAGUAUACUCUAUUGGAAUGCUUAGGUGAUUAGUUCAUGUUGAGAAUGAUGUUAAAGGUUAUGAAUUUAAAAUAUACAUCUAUGCAUCUUAUAAUUUA